CAUGAAUUGGCUUUAUUGUAUAAUUUUAAAGCUGCAGGCCUGAAGCCCCCACUUCCUAGGGAAGCAAAAGGGAGAGGUGAAGAAGGUGCAACAUGCAUGUGAGAGUAACAUCUCAACAGAUGUGCUUAAUGCAAAAUUUCACUACGUGUCUAAUUGUAAUCCUGGUUCAGUCAAGAAGGCAGUUUCCUUGAAGCAACAACCAACCCCUUUGGAAAACUACCAUUAAUCUAUUGCCCACACGCAUCGAAACCUCAUGAGCUUGCAAGUCCAUAUAACGUCAACUUCUUGCUUCUCUAUGGUCCUAACCUGAAUCUUCCAAGUCUUCAAGUCUGAGCACACAAGCAAAGCAAACCAAAGCGGAGAAAACAAAGAAGAAAAAAGUGGGUGAAAAUAAAAAAAGGCAAAAGAGAAAGUAAUAAAAUAUUCCCCCCCUUUCUUCUCCUACAGUUUUCAAGUCUCCAAAAUUAGACUUGAACAUAAUUGAGUUCUAUUUCUGGAUGCCCAAAAAAGUUGGGAGCUAACAGGGAAAGGGUCAGAGAUGGGUGCUUUGUCUAUUGUUUCUCUGCUUCCUUUAAAGCGAAGACCAUCUGUGUUUGAGCAGAACAGCCCUCUCUGCCCCUCCAGAAGAAAACCCAAGAAGAGAAUUAGUCCUGUGGCAAGAUUAUUUGGGCCAUCGAUUUUUGAGGCUUCAAAGUUGAAGGUGUUGUUUGUAGGGGUUGAUGAGGAGAAGCAUCCGGCGAAGCUGCCGAGGACUUAUACACUAACACAUAGUGAUAUUACUGCUAGGCUUACUUUAGCCAUCUCACAGACAAUAAAUAAUUCUCAGUUGCAGGGAUGGUCCAACAAAUUGUACAGAGAUGAAGUUGUGGCAGAAUGGAAGAAAGUGAAGGGAAAGAUGUCUCUUCAUGUUCAUUGUCAUAUAAGUGGAGGCCAUUUUUUAUUAGAUUUAUGUGCAAGGCUCAGAUAUUACAUCUUCUGCAAAGAACUCCCUGUGGUGUUGAAGGCCUUUGUCCAUGGAGAUGGGAAUUUGUUGAACAGCUACCCAGAAUUGCAGGAAGCUUUGGUAUGGGUUUAUUUCCAUUCAAACAUUCCAGAAUUCAACAGGGUAGGGUGUUGGGGCCCAUUAAAGGAUGCUGGAGCACCUUCUUCUUCUGGGGUGUAUGAGGAUGGGCCCCAUGAAAGCAAGCAGCAGGCAACCCCAGCAAGUAAUUGGAACUUGCCCGAGCCAUGUAAUGAGAACUGCGAGUGUUGUUUCCCACCAAUGAGCUUAAUCCCUUGGUCACAAAAGCCCCUCAUAGCUACUGAAAGUAGUGGAGGGACCCGACAGAGCUUUCAACAAGCAGCUCCAAAACCCUAAAUCGUUGGUCCAUUUGUGCCUUGAUGCGUGAUAUUUGCCUCAUUGUUUUAUGUCAGAACUCAGAAGGUGGUGCUCAUGUAUAUAACUGUGUAAACUGUGAUAUAUAUAUGUGUGUGAGAGAGAGACAGAAAUUGCAUGCCUGAUGCCUCCCUUGCUAUUCAAUGAUUUGGGAGUAUAUUUAAUAUUUGUAUUUUUUUAAUAAUUUAAUUUAAAAAUUGAAUAGAAAUUAUAAAUACUUGUAAACA
RNAcentral lists this unclassified non-coding RNA (1602 nucleotides) under Hevea brasiliensis (rubber tree). The record is from RNAcentral. Lineage: Eukaryota; Viridiplantae; Streptophyta; Magnoliopsida; Malpighiales; Euphorbiaceae.